GCGGGGUUACCCUAGCCUGGCAGGGGGCAGGCCUGCUAAGCCUGUGGUCCUUGGGCCUCGCGGGUUCAAAUCCCGCACCCCGCGCCA
Molecule: transfer RNA, 87 nt
Filed under: Candidatus Bathyarchaeota archaeon
Lineage: Archaea; Thermoproteati; Candidatus Bathyarchaeota
Description: tRNA-Ser
Rfam family: tRNA
About the family: Transfer RNA (tRNA) molecules are approximately 80 nucleotides in length. Their secondary structure includes four short double-helical elements and three loops (D, anti-codon, and T loops). Further hydrogen bonds mediate the characteristic L-shaped molecular structure. tRNAs have two regions of fundamental functional importance: the anti-codon, which is responsible for specific mRNA codon recognition, and the 3' end, to which the tRNAs corresponding amino acid is attached (by aminoacyl-tRNA synthetases). tRNAs cope with the degeneracy of the genetic code in two manners: having more than one tRNA (with a specific anti-codon) for a particular amino acid; and 'wobble' base-pairing, i.e. permitting non-standard base-pairing at the 3rd anti-codon position.
Source: RNAcentral